This 345-nucleotide unclassified non-coding RNA is filed under the name soil metagenome. RNAcentral describes it as "partial contains 5.8S ribosomal RNA, internal transcribed spacer 2, and large subunit ribosomal RNA". The stretch from base 1 to 120 matches the Rfam family "5.8S ribosomal RNA", at positions 35 to 154 of the family's 154-position model. The record is from RNAcentral.
GAUGAAGAACGUAGUGAAAUGCGAUACGUAAUGUGAAUUGCAGAAUUCAGUGAAUCAUCGAGUCUUUGAACGCACAUUGCGCCCCCUGGUAUUCCGGGGGGCAUGCCUGUCCGAGCGUCAUUGCUGCCCUCAAGCACGGCUUGUGUGUUGGGCCUCCGUCCUCCUCCCGGGGGACGGGCCCGAAAGGCAGCGGCGGCACCGCGUCCGGUCCUCGAGCGUAUGGGGCUUCGUCACCCGCUCUUGUAGGCCCGGCCGGCGCUUGCCGACACAUCAAUCUUUUUUCCAGGUUGACCUCGGAUCAGAUAGGGAUACCCGCUGAACUUAAGCAUAUCAAUAAGCGGAGGA